RNAcentral lists this long non-coding RNA (1504 nucleotides) under Oryctolagus cuniculus (rabbit). RNAcentral describes it as "lncRNA (ENSOCUG00000037780.1)". The record is from RNAcentral. Lineage: Eukaryota; Metazoa; Chordata; Mammalia; Lagomorpha; Leporidae.
AUGGCAGGGGAUGCUCUGGGGGCCGCCGUCCAGGGACUGCCCCAAGUCGGGGUCCGGAGGCACAAGGAGGGAGAGGGGACAGUGGGAGCCCUGAGGGCUUCAGUGCCCAGGGACGUGGCCUUGGCUGUCCAGAGGCCGCUGGCCCGCGUCCACCUCCAGGGCUGCCCCCCAGCUGCAGGGCUGAAGCCGGAUGGGCCCCGUAACCACCUGGCAGCACCUGAAGACAUGUGGAUGACACACAUGUUGGGUGUCUGCAUGAACAUGUGUGUUGGGGUGUGGGAUGUCUGUGUGGAUGACACGCAUGUUGGGGUGGCAGUAUUUGUGUGGAUAACACAUGUGUUGGGUGUCUGCAUGAAUGACAUGUGUGUUGGGGUGUGGGAUGUCUGUGUGGACAACACACGUGUUGGGGUGAUGCUGGCUCCUGCCGGUCCCACUGGUCCCACCGGGCAGCCCCCUGCCUGGGUCCACACAGCCCUGAGAGCCUCAGAGGGAAGAGCCAGGUGAGCCGAGCAGCCGCGCUGGGACUCUCACCAAGACUGGUUUGUGCACCGAACCCCACAAAACGGGGAAUCUGUGCAGACCACAGGAGAACAUGCCAUGAGGGCUGUCACCCACCGGCCGUGGUCGUGACCGCAGGUCCCUGGGGAGAAGCCAGCAGAGCCGUGGUGGACACGUGUCCAGUGAUGGCUCUCACAGAACACCAAGGAGAGGGCCGUGCAGGUGAGGUGUGGAGGCUCAGCCACAGGACCUCGCACCCACACCCAGGGCCUGGCGGGGCCAGAGCAGCUCCUGGUCCAGCUCCUGCUCACCCAGGAGGCAGUGGAGGACGGGCCAGCUGCCUGGGCCCCUGCACCUGCGUGGGAGACCCAGAUGGGGCUCCUGGCUCCCGGCUUCAGCCUGGCCCAGCGCUGGCCGUUGUGGGCACUGGGGAGGGAACCAGCGGACGGAAGACCUCUCCCCCGACGUCUUUCUGUCUGCAUCUCUGUACUUUUCCGGCUGCGAACCGGGUGACCCGUGACGAGCUUACAGAAAUGUGUGCGUAGGGUCCUGCCACCCCACACCUGCCGUCCACAUAGGUCCCAUGGCCAGGCUGAAGCCAGGAGCUGGGAGCUGCAUCCGGGCCCCCCACAGGGGCGGCAGGGGCCCAAACACGUCAGCCAUCAGCAGGGAGCUGGAUCGGAAGUGGAGCAGCCGGGUCUUGAACUCGAGUGUGAUGCAGGAGGUGGGCAUUGCAAGCCGGGGCUCGACCCGCAGGGCCUUGAUGGCCCCACCUCGCUCCCUUCCUGAGGGGCUUCCCUCUCCCAGCGUGGUGAUGGGGGGGUGGUCCCGAGAGGAGCUGGACAUCAGUGGGAGGAGGCCUGAGCCUCUGCUCUAUGGGCAGCUGUGAGGCCACGGCCGUGUCCAGCAGGGACUCCCGGCUGCGCAAGGCCACCUGCCUGAGCGCGCUUGGGGCGGGCCCACCAGGCUGGUGGGAGUCUCCGGUCCACACCCAUGUGUGGCCAGG